RNAcentral lists this ribosomal RNA (654 nucleotides) under Triticum aestivum (bread wheat). RNAcentral's name for it is "partial small subunit ribosomal RNA". Lineage: Eukaryota; Viridiplantae; Streptophyta; Magnoliopsida; Poales; Poaceae. The record is from RNAcentral.
AUGAGUGCCAUGUCAGGGAACACCAUGGCUGGCGCGCCGGCCAUGCCGGAAGCCGCCGGGGGUCCAUACGAGCGGGAGCUGAACUACAGCUUCACUGGGCGCGUCGCGCUCACCGUCGUCUUCGUCCUCUUCGGGCUCACCGUCGUCAUCGUCAUCAUGCGCGUCUUGCUGUACGUGCUGGUGUAUCGGUCUGGCCGAGGCGGAGGCCGCGGCAGCGGCGGCCUCGCCGCUGGCAUCCUCCGGUCCAUCAACUCGUUCGGAAGGAUCGGCAGCCGGCGGCACGGGCUGGACGCGUCCGCGCUCUCCGCGCUGCCGGUCACCGUGUACCGGAAGGAGGUCGGCUCCACCAGCGCCGCUGGGGCUGACUGCGCCGUGUGCCUGUCGGAGCUCGCGGACGGGGACACGGUGCGGCAGCUGCCGAACUGCGGGCACGUAUUCCACGUGGAGUGCGUCGACGCGUGGCUGCGCACCAGGACGACGUGCCCUCUCUGCCGGGCAGAGGCGGAGCUGUCCCAGGGCCAGCGGAGCGGCAAGGCGGAGGCGGCUGCGCAGUCGUCAUCGGGCACGGAGCCGCCGCAACCGACGUUGCUUGGUGCAGGAGGAACCUUGAUAGUGACCGUACAAGGUGGUAUCCAGAGAGACGUGCGCGGGUAA